AUUGAACGCUAGCGGGAUGCUUUACACAUGCAAGUCGAACGGCAGCGCGGACUUCGGUCUGGCGGCGAGUGGCGAACGGGUGAGUAAUGUAUCGGAACGUGCCCAGUAGCGGGGGAUAACUACGCGAAAGCGUAGCUAAUACCGCAUACGCCCUACGGGGGAAAGCCGGGGAUCGUAAGACCUUGCACUAUUGGAGCGGCCGGUUUCGGAUUAGCUAGUUGGUGAGGUAACGGCUCACCAAGGCGACGAUCCGUAGCUGGUUUGAGAGGACGACCAGCCACACUGGGACUGAGACACGGCCCAGACUCCUACGGGAGGCAGCAGUGGGGAAUUUUGGACAAUGGGGGCAACCCUGAUCCAGCCAUCCCGCGUGUGCGAUGAAGGCCUUCGGGUUGUAAAGCACUUUUGGCAGGAAAGAAACGUCGCGGGCUAAUACCCCGUGGAACUGACGGUACCUGCAGAAUAAGCACCGGCUAACUACGUG
Molecule: ribosomal RNA, 484 nt
Filed under: uncultured bacterium
Lineage: Bacteria
Description: partial 16S ribosomal RNA
Rfam family: Bacterial small subunit ribosomal RNA
Source: RNAcentral